RNAcentral lists this ribosomal RNA (616 nucleotides) under uncultured bacterium. RNAcentral describes it as "bacterial SSU rRNA". It matches the Rfam family "Bacterial small subunit ribosomal RNA", at positions 335 to 960 of the family's 1533-position model. The record is from RNAcentral.
ACUCCUACGGGAGGCUGCAGUGGGGAAUAUUGCACAAUGGGCGGAAGCCUGAUGCAGCGACGCCGCGUGAGGGAUGACGGCCUUCGGGUUGUAAACCUCUUUCAGUAGGGAAGAAGCGUAAGUGACGGUACCUGCAGAAGAAGCGCCGGCUAACUACGUGCCAGCAGCCGCGGUAAUACGUAGGGCGCAAGCGUUAUCCGGAAUUAUUGGGCGUAAAGAGCUCGUAGGCGGUUUGUCGCGUCUGCCGUGAAAGUCCGGGGCUCAACUCCGGAUCUGCGGUGGGUACGGGCAGACUAGAGUGAUGUAGGGGAGACUGGAAUUCCUGGUGUAGCGGUGAAAUGCGCAGAUAUCAGGAGGAACACCGAUGGCGAAGGCAGGUCUCUGGGCAUUAACUGACGCUGAGGAGCGAAAGCAUGGGGAGCGAACAGGAUUAGAUACCCUGGUAGUCCAUGCCGUAAACGUUGGGCACUAGGUGUGGGGGACAUUCCACGUUUUCCGUACCGUAGCUAACGCAUUAAGUGCCCCGCCUGGGGAGUACGGCCGCAAGGCUAAAACUCAAAGGAAUUGACGGGGGCCCGCACAAAGCGGCGGAGCAUGCGGAUUAAUUCGAUGCAAC